This 490-nucleotide ribosomal RNA is filed under the name uncultured Alphaproteobacteria bacterium. RNAcentral describes it as "bacterial SSU rRNA". It matches the Rfam family "Bacterial small subunit ribosomal RNA", at positions 38 to 572 of the family's 1533-position model. The record is from RNAcentral. Lineage: Bacteria; Pseudomonadati; Pseudomonadota; Alphaproteobacteria.
GGCGGCAGGCCUAACACAUGCAAGUCGAGCGCCCGUAGCAAUACGGGAGCGGCAGACGGGAGAGUAACACGUGGGAACGUACCCUUCAGUUCGGAACAACCCAGGGAAACUUGGGCUAAUACCGAAUACGUCCGUAAGGAGAAAGAUUUAUCGCUGAAGGAUCGGCCCGCGUCUGAUUAGCUAGUUGGUGAGGUAACGGCUCACCAAGGCGACGAUCAGUAGCUGGUCUGAGAGGAUGAUCAGCCUCAUUGGGACUGAGACACGGCCCAAACUCCUACGGGAGGCAGCAGUGGGGAAUAUUGGACAAUGGGCGCAAGCCUGAUCCAGCCAUGCCGCGUGGAUGAUGAAGGCCCUAGGGUUGUAAAGUCCUUUCGGCGGGGAAGAUAAUGACGGUACCCGCAGAAGAAGCCCCGGCUAACUUCGUGCCAGCAGCCGCGGUAAUACGAAGGGGGCUAGCGUUGCUCGGAAUCACUGGGCGUAAAGCGCACGU